Molecule: ribosomal RNA, 676 nt
Filed under: Staphylococcus haemolyticus
Lineage: Bacteria; Bacillati; Bacillota; Bacilli; Caryophanales; Staphylococcaceae
Description: bacterial SSU rRNA
Rfam family: Bacterial small subunit ribosomal RNA
Source: RNAcentral
CGGCGGACGGGUGAGUAACACGUGGGUAACCUACCUAUAAGACUGGGAUAACUUCGGGAAACCGGAGCUAAUACCGGAUAAUAUUUCGAACCGCAUGGUUCGAUAGUGAAAGAUGGUUUUGCUAUCACUUAUAGAUGGACCCGCGCCGUAUUAGCUAGUUGGUAAGGUAACGGCUUACCAAGGCGACGAUACGUAGCCGACCUGAGAGGGUGAUCGGCCACACUGGAACUGAGACACGGUCCAGACUCCUACGGGAGGCAGCAGUAGGGAAUCUUCCGCAAUGGGCGAAAGCCUGACGGAGCAACGCCGCGUGAGUGAUGAAGGUCUUCGGAUCGUAAAACUCUGUUAUUAGGGAAGAACAUACGUGUAAGUAACUAUGCACGUCUUGACGGUACCUAAUCAGAAAGCCACGGCUAACUACGUGCCAGCAGCCGCGGUAAUACGUAGGUGGCAAGCGUUAUCCGGAAUUAUUGGGCGUAAAGCGCGCGUAGGCGGUUUUUUAAGUCUGAUGUGAAAGCCCACGGCUCAACCGUGGAGGGUCAUUGGAAACUGGAAAACUUGAGUGCAGAAGAGGAAAGUGGAAUUCCAUGUGUAGCGGUGAAAUGCGCAGAGAUAUGGAGGAACACCAGUGGCGAACGCGACUUUCUGGUCUGUAACUGACGCUGAUGUGCGAAAG